This 465-nucleotide ribosomal RNA is filed under the name uncultured bacterium. Its description in RNAcentral is "partial 16S ribosomal RNA". It matches the Rfam family "Bacterial small subunit ribosomal RNA", at positions 28 to 507 of the family's 1533-position model. The record is from RNAcentral.
GACGAACGCUGGCGGCGUGCUUAACACAUGCAAGUCGAACGGAAAGGCCCCUUUGGGGGUACUCGAGUGGCGAACGGGUGAGUAACACGUGCGUAACCUGCCCUUCACUUCGGGAUAACUUCAGGAAACUGGGGCUAAUACCGGAUAGGAAUCCUUGCUGCAUGGUGGGGGUUGGUAAGCUUCGGCGGUUUUGGAUGGACUCGCGGCUUAUCAGCUUGUUGGUGGGGUAGUGGCUUACCAAGGCUUUGUCGGGUAGCCGGCCUGAGAGGGCGACCGGCCACAUUGGGACUGAGAUACGGCCCAGACUCCUACGGGGGGCAGCAGGGGGGAAUAUUGCACAAGGGGCGGAAGCCUGAUGCAGCAACGCCGCGGGCGGGAUGACGGCCUUCGGGUUGGAAACCGCUUUCAGCAGGGGCGAAGCUUGUGGUGACGGUACCUGCAGAAGAAGCACCGGCUAACUACGUG